RNAcentral lists this ribosomal RNA (394 nucleotides) under uncultured bacterium. RNAcentral describes it as "partial 16S ribosomal RNA". It matches the Rfam family "Bacterial small subunit ribosomal RNA", at positions 523 to 918 of the family's 1533-position model. The record is from RNAcentral.
AUACGUAGGGUGCAAGCGUUAAUCGGAAUUACUGGGCGUAAAGCGUGCGCAGGCGGUUUUGUAAGACAGAGGGGAAAUCCCCGGGCUCAACCUGGGAACUGCCUUUGUGACUGCAAGGCUAGAGGACGGCAGAGGGGGCUGGAAUUCCGCGUGUAGCCGGGAAAUGCGUAGAUAUGCGGAGGAACACCGAUGGCGAAGGCAAUCCCCUGGGCCUGUACUGACGCUCAUGCACGAAAGCGUGGGGAGCAAACAGGAUUAGAUACCCUGUAGUCCACGCCCUAAACGAUGUCAACUGGUUGUUGGGUCUUCAUUGACUCAGUAACGAAGCUAACGCGUGAAGUUGACCGCCUGGGGAGUACGGCCGCAAGGUUGAAACUUAAAGGAAUUGGCGGGG